GUGUGUUGCUGACGUGUGUGUUGCUGAUGUGUGUGUUGCUGACGUGUGUGCUGCUGAUGUGUGUGUUGCUGAUGUGUGUGUUGCGGAUGUGUGUGUUGCUGAUGUGUGUGUUGCUGACGUGUGUGUUGCUGAUGUGUGUGUUGCUGAGGUGUGUGUUGCUGAUGUGUGUGUUGCUGACGUGUGUGUUGCUGACGUGUGUGUUGCUGACGUGUGUUCUGCUGAUGUGUGUGUUGCGGAUGUGUGUGUUGCUAAUGUGUGUGUUGCUGAUGUGUGUGUUGCGGAUGUGUGUGUUGCUGAUGUGUGUGUUGCUGAUGUGUGUGUUGCUGAGGUGUGUGUUGCUGAGGUGUGUGCUGCU
Clupea harengus (Atlantic herring) is the source of this 355-nucleotide long non-coding RNA. The record is from Ensembl. Lineage: Eukaryota; Metazoa; Chordata; Actinopteri; Clupeiformes; Clupeidae.